This 500-nucleotide ribosomal RNA is filed under the name uncultured bacterium. RNAcentral describes it as "partial 16S ribosomal RNA". It matches the Rfam family "Bacterial small subunit ribosomal RNA", at positions 30 to 523 of the family's 1533-position model. The record is from RNAcentral.
AUUGAACGCUGGCGGCAUGCCUUACACAUGCAAGUCGAACGGCAGCACGGGAGCAAUCCUGGUGGCGAGUGGCGAACGGGUGAGUAAAGUAUCGGAACGUGCCCAGUCGUGGGGGAUAACGUAGCGAAAGUUACGCUAAUACCGCAUACGAUCUAUGAAUGAAAGCGGGGGAUCGCAAGACCUCGCGCGAUUGGAGCGGCCGAUAUCAGAUUAGGUAGUUGGUGGGGUAAAGGCCCACCAAGCCGACGAUCUGUAGCUGGUCUGAGAGGACGACCAGCCACACUGGGACUGAGACACGGCCCAGACUCCUACGGGAGGCAGCAGUGGGGAAUUUUGGACAAUGGGCGAAAGCCUGAUCCAGCCAUGCCGCGUGCAGGAUGAAGGCCUUCGGGUUGUAAACUGCUUUUGUACGGAACGAAAAGGACUGCCCUAAUACGGUGGUCCCAUGACGGUACCGUAAGAAUAAGCACCGGCUAACUACGUGCCAGCAGCCGCGGUAA